RNAcentral lists this ribosomal RNA (468 nucleotides) under uncultured bacterium. RNAcentral describes it as "partial 16S ribosomal RNA". It matches the Rfam family "Bacterial small subunit ribosomal RNA", at positions 28 to 507 of the family's 1533-position model. The record is from RNAcentral.
GACGAACGCUGGCGGCGUGCUUAACACAUGCAAGUCGAACGGAAAGGCCCUGCUUUUGUGGGGUGCUCGAGUGGCGAACGGGUGAGUAACACGUGAGUAACCUGCCCUUGACUUUGGGAUAACUUCAGGAAACUGGGGCUAAUACCGGAUAGGAGCUCCUGCUGCAUGGUGGGGGUUGGAAAGUUUCGGCGGUUGGGGAUGGACUCGCGGCUUAUCAGCUUGUUGGUGGGGUAGUGGCUUACCAAGGCUUUGACGGGUAGCCGGCCUGAGAGGGUGACCGGCCACCAUGGGGCUGGGGUUCCGCCCCGACUCCUACGGGAGGGAGCAGGUGGGAAUAUUGCCCCAUGGGCGGAAGCCUGAUGCAGCAACGCCGCGUGCGGGAUGACGGCCUUCGGGUUGUAAACCGCUUUCGCCUGUGACGAAGCGUGAGUGACGGUAAUGGGUAAAGAAGCACCGGCUAACUACGUG